AUGAACGCUGGCGGCGUGCCUAAUACAUGCAAGUCGAGCGAACAGAUGAGGAGCUUGCUCCUCUGACGUUAGCGGCGGACGGGUGAGUAACACGUGGAUAACCUACCUAUAAGACUGGGAUAACUUCGGGAAACCGGAGCUAAUACCGGAUAAUAUAUUGAACCGCAUGGUUCAAUAGGGAAAGACGGUUUUGCUGUCACUUAUAGAUGGAUCCGCGCCGCAUUAGCUAGUUGGUAAGGUAACGGCUUACCAAGGCAACGAUGCGUAGCCGACCUGAGAGGGUGAUCGGCCACACUGGAACUGAGACACGGUCCAGACUCCUACGGGAGGCAGCAGUAGGGAAUCUUCCGCAAUGGGCGAAAGCCUGACGGAGCAACGCCGCGUGAGUGAUGAAGGUCUUCGGAUCGUAAAACUCUGUUAUUAGGGAAGAACAAAUGUGUAAGUAACUAUGCACGUCUUGACGGUACCUAAUCAGAAAGCCACGGCUAACUACGUG
This 496-nucleotide ribosomal RNA is filed under the name uncultured bacterium. RNAcentral's name for it is "partial 16S ribosomal RNA". It matches the Rfam family "Bacterial small subunit ribosomal RNA", at positions 29 to 507 of the family's 1533-position model. The record is from RNAcentral.